This 294-nucleotide ribosomal RNA is filed under the name uncultured bacterium. Its description in RNAcentral is "partial 16S ribosomal RNA". It matches the Rfam family "Bacterial small subunit ribosomal RNA", at positions 775 to 1067 of the family's 1533-position model. The record is from RNAcentral.
GGAUUAGAUACCCUGGUAGUCCACGCCGUAAACGAUGAGAACUAGCCGUUGGUUUCCUUAGAGAAAUUAGUGGCGCAGCUAACGCGAUAAGUUCUCCGCCUGGGGAGUACGGCCGCAAGGUUAAAACUCAAAUGAAUUGACGGGGGCCCGCACAAGCGGUGGAGCAUGUGGUUUAAUUCGAAGCAACGCGAAGAACCUUACCUGGCCUUGACAUCCAGAGAACUUGGUAGAGAUACCUUGGUGCCUUCGGGAGCUCUGAGACAGGUGCUGCAUGGCUGUCGUCAGCUCGUGUCG